This 253-nucleotide ribosomal RNA is filed under the name uncultured bacterium. RNAcentral describes it as "partial 16S ribosomal RNA". It matches the Rfam family "Bacterial small subunit ribosomal RNA", at positions 524 to 776 of the family's 1533-position model. The record is from RNAcentral.
UACGGAGGGUGCAAGCGUUAUCCGGAUUCACUGGGUUUAAAGGGUGCGUAGGUGGGCAGGUAAGUCCGUGGUGAAAUCUCUGAGCUUAACUCAGAAACUGCCGUGGAUACUAUCUAUCUUGAAUAUCGUGGAGGUUAGCGGAAUAUGUCAUGUAGCGGUGAAAUGCUUAGAUAUGACAUAGAACACCCAUUGCGAAGGCAGCUAACUACGCGAUCAUUGACGCUGAUGCACGAAAGCGUGGGGGUCAAACAGG